This 32301-nucleotide long non-coding RNA is filed under the name Mytilus galloprovincialis (Mediterranean mussel). Lineage: Eukaryota; Metazoa; Mollusca; Bivalvia; Mytilida; Mytilidae. The record is from RNAcentral.
UCACAGGAGCCACACCAUAUCCAGGAAUGACAGUAAGGGAGGUAAUUCAAGAUGUAACCAUUGGUAAAUGGUUACAGAAACCCUUUCAUUGCAAACAAGAACUGUGAGUAAUAAUCGUACAUGUAUAUAUUAUUUACAAAAGUACCAAUGAUGACACUCAAUUGGUUCUAAGAAAUCUGUUUCAUUAAGAAUAAAAUAUCAUAGGGGAUAGGACAAUUUUUUUGUUUCCAAAAAUCCGUUAUUUAAAAAAAAACACACAUUAAUUUCAUGUUUCAUUGUAUCACAAACAAAUUUAAUGUCAAUUUAAAUAAUGAUAAAAAUAUAUGAUGCAUUAUAAUAUUCCAAGUGUGAAAACUAAACUGUACAUUUCUUUAUUUUUGUCAUUUUUUUUUGUCAUUUUGGAAACGGUCAAGACACUCGUAAAUGUAACAAGUUACUAGAUAAAAAGUUUAAUGUACUGAAAUGUUACUGUUUGAAGUUUCUGCUUUAAAAUUUGGUAACAAAAAACAUUCUACAUGUAAAUAUGAACCAAUCAAAUAAUGAAGAAAAGAUAAACGCAUCCAAACGUUUUUAUUAGAAUAGCGAAGCUACAAGUAACUCAUAAACACUGUCACACAAAAAUGAUAAAAGAAGUAAAAAAAAAACUAGAAACCUAAUCACUGCUAUCAGAAUGCAAUUUUUCUGAUAUUAUGUCUUACUUGUCUGAAAGUUUUAAUGCUUAUGUCCCCAUAGAAAUUCAAAUACAUCAAUUGUCUCAAUGUCGGAUAUUGUAUUGACUUUACAAUGUCUACAGUCGCUGGCGCAUUUACUGUUCGACCACUUGGGACUGUCCUAUGCAUUUGCGUGGUCAAUUUCAUAAAAGGAAUUGCAUGUAUAUUUCAUUGUUUGAAAUUGUCUGUCCUAAUAUAUAUAAGUCUACGGUUUUUGAAAUAAAAGUGAACUAAAUUUCAGUCAUUUUUCCGAUCAAGAUACUACUAAGGGCACCUUUUCAAGGCACGAUUAGAGUAUCCAUAUUAGAGACAACGUUAAAAAAAUGAACGAUAAAAAUACAAUACAAAUGUGAAGAAUUCUUAAUAAGAAAAGUAAAGCUUCAUGGAAUAAUAUAAAAUUUGAACAGACGCUUCUUUAUGAUAAAAAUACAUUAUCCAGAGUAAAAUUGCAUCAAUAUGUAUUUACCUUUUUUCGUAUUUUACUGAUAAAUGGACUUAUUUUUUUACAAUCAACAAGUACAUAGAGAAUAAUACAUGGCAAAAUCCGUAUCAUAUGUCGUAUCAUCCCGAGACAUCAAUAUCAGCCCAAGGGCCUUUAGGCCCGAGGGAUGAUAUUGGUCGAGGGUGAUACGGCAUGUGAUACGGAUUUUGCCAUGUAUUAUACGCUUUAUCAUAUAUUUCAACAGAAGAGUAUUAUAUUAUAUGAACUGUUUUCUGAUCCAUAGCACUGGGUUACCUUCAGUUCUACUUUUGUCUUGUUUCAAAGGCCUAAAAAGAACUGCUUAAUUACUUAUCCGAAGCACCUGGGUUACCUUACAAUUUGCGUGCUGUUGUUUUAAAAAUAUUUUGUUUAUUAUUGUAUUUAUUUGUGUAUUUUGUAUUUUUUAUAGUUGCAUUUAGUGUGCCAAAAAAUAUGAAAACUUUACGUUCGUGAAGUCACAUACAAUAUGAAAACUUGACGUUUGUGACGUCACAUAUAAAAAAAAUGACGUCAUUUAAAAAAAUUACCUAUUUUGAGGAAAAUUUUUCUUAUACAAAAAAAAACAAAAAAAGCUGACUUUAUGUAAAAAAAAAAAAAAAAAAAAAAGUAGGGGUGUGAUAAAGGGUUGAGGUGUGAUAAAGGGUUGAGGUGUGAUAAAGGGUAUGCGAUAAAGGGUAGGGGUGUGAUAAAGGGUAUGCGAUAAAGGGUGCGCAUCAAAGUUGCGCGAUAUGGAUUAAACAGCAGGCUAUUUAUCAAAUAUGAAAAACUACUGUAUUUACUACUAAACAUAUGAUAAAUGUAGAUACUGUCUGAGAUUAAAGUUUGUUACGCAUCAAUUUUUUUGUUAUUGUUUCAUGGAAUUUUAUGAAACAUUGACAGAAUCUUUUUAUGGUGAAGAGAUAAUAUUUGAAAAAAAGUUUUCUCCUGCACCUUAAGGAUUAUAUCAAUUAUUAUAUAGGUAAAUGGAUUAGUUCUAAAGUGCACAUGUCUGUCUGGUAGGUAUUAUUUGUCAUUGACCUCAUUUUCAUGGUUCAUUGGUCAAUAUUAAAUUUCCAAAGUUUGGUCCUCUUCUCAGAUGCUAAAAUCAAUGGAUCAACACAUACAGAAACGGACUAAGCAUUAGCAAUCCUGCUCCACAUGUGACACCCGUUGUGUUGCUCAUGUAAUUACAAACCCGGUAAAUAGUCUAAUUCGGUCGGUCACAUUCAUGAAAAGGGAAGGGGAAGCGAAAGUGAGCAACAUAUCCGAUAUCAUCUGUGUAACGGUUGUUCCAUAACGGCUAACCAACUCGUGAUGGCGUCCGUAAAAUUUACGAAGGGAUGAUUUCAACUUCACCAUUUGGAACUCUUGGUUGAAUAGCUUCCUUGUGAGCAACCCUCUAUCAAGAAAUUCAUGAUAGGAAAUACAAGCGAUGGAAUAUCGUAUCAAUUGUAGAUAUAUACUCUGUAUGCAGGCGCUGUUGGAAUGUUGCUGCAUAGAAAUGGAAAGUUCUCAAUUAGGAAGCUGUAUCUCGUUUGUCGUAAAGUUUUGUUUUCAACCGACCCUCAUUGUCAAUUUCUAGAUGUAAGUCAAGAUGUGAGGCAAACGUAACAAAUAUGUUGUCAAUCAAGAAAUUAAGCAUCUUGAUAAUGUCAGUUUCAGAGAAUAUUUUGUUUGAAUCAGUGUGAUCCUUUACAAAGUAGGAUUUAUAAGUGCAUGGAAUGCUUAUAAGGUAAGGUUUACAUGUUUGUCGGUCAUAGUGCAUAUGACCUUGACCUCAUUGUUAUGGAUCAUUGAUAGUGUUAUAUUUUUGGAACCUUUAUCUGUAUUACUUUCAACAUAAAACCAAUCGUGGUCAAUAAGGCAGGUGAGACAUUAUAUCGUGUACACUCUUGUUUUCCAAGAAAUCUCAAAAUUCGUAAUCUGCUGGCAAAGGAAUUAUAUCAUUUUACGCUUAAAAUAACUGAACAAAAAAUAAAAAAUGCUGUUUUACUCAAUGUCAAAGUUUACUCUGUGUAAAGAAUUUCAGUUAGUUUAUCAAAAUAAAAUCCAAUAAUCCAUGACUUAGAGAUCAACAUAUUGUAUAAAUGAUGACACUGAACUUGAGAAUAAGUUAACAAAAGAUACACUUAAGUCUGCCUCUUAUCUUGACUUACAUAGUUAACAAAGGUACCAGGGGCAAGUAACAAGAAACAUCUCUUAAAGUUCUCGUAAGUCAUAGUUUACGAUAGCACAAAGAGUGCACUAAGAGUCUUUUAGGAGUGUAACUAGAAGCAUUCUUUACUCUCCCUUUUCUUUCUCUUGACAUCGUUUAAGAAUACCCUUAAGACGGUCUUAUUCUGAGCACACUUACUAACUCUCCGUCCUGUCCGUUUACGUUUUCUUUCUAUGAUUUAGUCAUUGCCAAUUAAAAAUCUCUCUUGCGUUUUGAGGUAAGGGAUUUGUUCUUACAUAUUCUGCUUAAUUAUUUAUCCUGAUUAAGUUAAGAACGAGUGAAUAUUUAAGAGAAAAAGAAUAUUUUGGCUCAGUGCAAAAUAGCACAAAAACCGGAUUUUUAAACAAGAAGAAAUAUCUCCCACAACGGUAAAAUUUGACAUGAACAGUUUAUUAUCGGUGCAAAUUAAUUGGUUAACUAUAUAUAUCAACUGAUAAAGGAAAGAUUUCAUUCAUUUCCGUAACCCGAACAACCAUCGAGACAAAGUCCCCUUUUACAGUAGAAAAAUCAAUUAUAAAAAAAAAAAUCGGGAAAAUUUCAUUGUACUAAUGAACUCAAAAUCGUUAACUUUUUUUUGUCACUUUUUUUUAAUUCCCGCAUUUGCGCAGAACACAGAAAUCUACUUCCUUCUUCCGGUGUCGUUGUCAUGUGACUUUGAGUAGUCAAGUAAAAUAUAGUGGCUUUAGGAACACAAUACAAAUUUCAUCUUUAAUAAGUCUUUGUCUUUCAUAUUAAUAUGAGGCAGGCAUUACCUGUGAAUGGGGACGAAGUCUGUAUGAAUGAUUUUUUUGUAACUUAAAUAUUUGUUAAAAAAAAAAAAAAAAAGAAACGGAAAUACCGUAACGUUUCCGUUUUUGAUUCUGCUGUUAGGGAUUUUACUUUAUUUCCUAUCAUGAUUCCCUUGUUUGACGUUUGCUACUCACAGAGAAGCUGUUUAUCAACAGUUCUGAGUGGUGAAAUCAUCCCUUUGUAAAUUUUACGGCCGUUUACACGAUACGGUUGUAUUAGAAUAUCAGUUUCUCAUAUGAUAGCCGAUAUGUUCCGAACAGGCCAGGUGAGUGUUUCUCAUUACUUUGUGUACGUCGUCAGUCAUCGUGGUUAGCUUUGACAAAAAUCUUCUCCUCUGCAACUUGGACACAUUUCAUCAUUGACCACAAUCAUUAUUGAGGAAUCUAGUUUUGAAAAUGUGCCAGAUUACCUCUCUUGCCAACCAACAUUUGUACAAAUAGAAAAAUAAAAUCUUAUACAGCGUCAUCUUCGCCAAUUUUACGCUCAAUUGUUUAGGUCAUAAUGAUCUAUUUUACAUAUUUCGUGGACAGGUAUAUAACGGCGCAAAUCGUGUCCCCAAGUUAUAGUGUCUGUUUGAAAUCAUAGUGCAUACGUAUGCUGCAUGGAGGGGAAGUAAUGAACGCAUAAUAUACGUAGCUUUAAUAGUUGUCCCACAAAGACGCGGUGUGUCAGUGUACUAAGAUCACCCCGAUGGCCGGCUUGUAUCUUCAUGCAAAUACAAGCUUUUGUCGAUUAACAAAGAUGCAGAUAUACAGUAAUGCAACACUUAUAGUCACUUAAAGAUAAGCUGAGAAUCCCUUCUAUGUCUGUCCGGAGUUUUUUUGUCUUGUGUCCCCUAUAUCUUCAUAAGGAUUAGGAUGACACAGGAAUUUGUCAUUGUAUUAAAAUUAAGAAGUGUAGAUAGAGUGGCAUAUUGAAAACAAUAUAUAACCGAAUAGAGAAAAAAUAAAGAGAAUGAUCGACGAAAAUGGUAACUAGUUAUUGCAAAGAAGCGGUAAUAAAAAGAGAGGCACAUUGGGAAACAAAUGUUUGCAUGACAAAGUUAUUGCUCGCUUUGAUAUUUUUAGUUAUACAAAAUCACACAUCGUGUUCCUAAUUGAUAUUCACGUGCACUUACUUGUUGUCUGCACAGCGGCAUCGUUAUAACUUAAAAUUAAUUAAGUUUUCCAUUUGUUAUAUCGUAGUGUUGCUGUGUUUCUUUAUUAAUGAUUGUGUAAACUGUAUAAAAAAUCUUCAUACCCGUUUAGUUAUUGCCUAUAGACGUUUGAUUAUUGUUACAUACGAUAAAUAUAUAUAGAGAGAGAGACACAGAGAGAGAACCUUUAUUAAACCUUAAAGUAAAACGACAUAAGAACCCUGUAGUACUAGCUACUCAAUAUGGUUGUAUUGGAAUACAGAUUGACAACUAGGCAUGGUCCGAGAUCAUGUAAUAUUUGCCAUAUGACGCUCAUAUUUCUUUCUACCAUCAUAAUUUUAUUCAUUAAAUAUUGCUGUAAACAUCAAUGUUCAGUAACACCCAAACAAAAUGGGAUUAGUAUUUAUACCCUCAGAGCUUCUUCGUGGUAUAUAUUUGUGAAAUAUAUAAAUACUUUUUUGAGAGAACACUCACCAAACCAAAACGAACGAUAUAACCAUGCAGGCAUUUAGUUUUCGUCAGACACAAGAUAAAUAAUCACUCUCAAAAAUGUAUAUAUAUAUAUAUGCAUGCAGUUUCAAAUAUCAAAAACAUUUAGCGGUCGAUGUCUAUAGGUCACUGUUAAUAGAUAUAGGAAGAUGUGGUGUGAGUGCCAAUGAGACGACUCUCAAUACAAAUAACAAUUUAAAAAGUAAACCAUUAUAGGUUAAAGUACGGCCUUCAACACGGAGCCUUGGCUCACACCGAACAACAAGCUAUAAAGGGCCCCAAAAUUACUAGUGUAAAACCAUUCAAACGGGAAAACCAACGGUCUAAUCUAUAUAAACAAAACGAGAAACGAGAAACACGUAUGUAUUACAUAAACAAACGACAACUACUGUACAUCAGAUUCCUGACUUAGGACAGGUGCAAACAUGUGCAGCGGGAAUUAACGUUUUAAUGGAUCCAAACCUUCUCCCUUUUUCUGAAACAAUAGCAUAACAUCACAACAAAGAAAAACAUACGAUAAAAUAUCAAUUGGCAGACUUAACUCAAUCAAAAAACGUAUGAUUAAACAAUGAACGAAUAAAUUUGAUCUGCGAUAUCUGAAUACAAAUGCACAGUUAAUUAAAUAUUAGAGACAAACAUUCAUGACCAAAAAGCUAACCUCCGUUUACAAACUGUUGAGAGUCAGACAUGCCACUUGUACAUUCUUGGAAGCCUUCAUGUACCACAUUGGACGAUGGGAACUCUUCUCUGAUGGUGUUGACAACAUAAGCUUAUAUGGUAAUUCUGGUUAUCUGUAUACAAGUGGUUGGCCUCGUCUGUCCCAACAAUCAUAUAAACGAAACGCUACUAGUCUGCUUUUUCUGGUAGAGAGGACCUCUGGAACUCAUCCUCAAUGGCACUUAUACGUCAGAAAACUUACAAGUAUACAAGUAAAGAUUGUUUCAAGAACAACGAGGUUGGGACGAAUUAAUCUAUAUAAAAUCGUCAAUAGCAGUUAUACAUUACUAAGAUAUGCCUUUUAUUACAACUACUCAGUGGCGGAUCCAGCCAUUAAAAAAAGGGGGGGGUCCCAACCCAGAGUAAAAAGGGAGGGGGGGUUCCAACUAUAUGCUCCCAUUCAAAUGCAUUGAUCGUCCAAAAAAAGGGGGGUUCCAACCCCCGGACCCCCCCCCUCCCCUGGAUCCGCCACUGCUACUGUAUUACUAAUUUGGAUAAUUGACCGCUAUCCUGAUUAAUUUAAAUAAGUAAGAACGAAAUGUAAGAAGAAAAAAAAUCAUUUGCGAUACUUAGCAUUUAAAAAUCGCCAGAUUUAAAUACAAGUUAAAAAAUUUCGGUAAAGUAAAUCAGAUGUGCAAUAGUUUUUAUUUGGGAAACGCAACAUUUAAUUUUAAAGAUUCUUUCAACUUAAUAUUUGAAUUGUAUGCUAAUGGCAUAGAACGUUAUCGGUAAUUGUUCCAUUUUUAUGUUGCAUACACUUCCGAAAUUAAAAAUUUAUUUUUAAUAAAUUUAUACAAUUAAAUUAUUGUUUCUCUAUUGUCAUCGGUGUAUUAAACUCCCUAUACCCGUUCUGUUAAUUCAUUCGAAAUGGCAACAUUCACAGCUGUGUAAACUUGAAUUCACACCUGUGUACACCUGAGGCUAAAUUGCUGCAAGGUAAAGUUCAAACCAAUUCUACGCAAAUCGAGAAAUAUACAAUGACUUAACAAAAUAAUAUACACACUCUUCACACAUAUUUUUCAUUGAAAAGGUUAUCGAAGUUAUAACGGUAAAUAAAACGAAAAUAUUUUCAGUUCAAGAUUAGUAAAAAAAACAGAUAUUUUAUGAAAAAAUCCCAACAAUAAUUUUUCAAAUUAAUUCGAAAAUAUUUAUAUAAUUAUAAUUAUAUAGGAAGUUUUAUUCAAUAAUACAAAACGGUACACGCACGUUUAUUUUGAUAUUGUGGUUAUUAACUACGACCAACGAUCAUCUGUGCGCUUUUAAUUUCGUAGUAUUGUGAGAAGAAAUUAAGACUUUAACAUAUUUUAUUUUUUCCCAUGAUUCAACAAAUCGGGCUAAAACGUCACAACCCACUCUCGUAGGUCAAGCAAAAAAGUUACAAAUACUUGAUUUUCUCCGUUAUUAGAAGGAAUAUAAAUAUAAAACUUUGUGAUUGUGUUUUUUAUGAUAAGACGAACAUAUUAAGAUGAUAAGUAAAAUAUCGCGGAAUUUCCCUUUAAACAUUUCGAUCCUAAAUGAUUGAUUUAUUGUUGGUGUUUUAACACCACUUUUGAGCUAUUUCGUGACGGCCAGUUUGUAUUGGUAGAGGAAGUCGGAUUGCCCGGAGAAAUCCACCUAUAUUAGAUAGGAAAACUGACAACUCUAGUCAAUUAAGUCAGAGUGGAGCCGAGUGUGUUCAUAGUCACAACCUCAGUGUUGACUGGCUAGUGAAUACAGUAUAGUAGGUUAACGGAAUAACAGACGGCUAUAUUUUAUAUCGUUGGAAAGAGGAGAAAAAGCCUCAUCGAAAUAGCGUUGUCGUCGUUGUCUGUCUUGGUCACGUUUUUAGGCAGUUAAGCUGCCUUAUGUGAGCACCCUAUAUUUAUGUUCUACCCAAUAAAUGCUGAAAUAUGUGCCAUUGUUAUUAUCUAGCUGGAUGUUUUGUUAUUCAUAACUUAUUGGACAGUUUUUUCAUACUUUUAAUUCUUGAUUACAAAAAAUAUGAUCAGAAAAACCUUAAAUGAUCGUCGAUUUAUCUAAAAGUUUUGAAGUUGCACAUAGGAAGUAGGGCACAUUAGGAAUCUUUAUGUAGUUUAUUAUCCCCUGAGAUUUUGGCUAAUUAAGCUGUCAAAGAACAAAUGUAUGGUUUAAUCGCCAAAAUUUUCUUAAGACAAAUAGCAAAAGUCGAAGGAAUAUUGUUUGUCGUCAAAACGUAGUCAACUACGUCAGUAGUCUUAAAAUAAGUUCCACUGUUCAUGCUGUUGGCGGCAAUUUUAAAUUAUAAGACGAAAUUUUUAUAUCUUUUCAAUUUGGAGGCAGGGGUUCAAUUAGCGGUUGUCCGAGGUCUGCGAACUUCCACUUUUGCAGUCGGAAUUUCGACUUGGUUACUAGCUACGCUCGACAUUCACGACUUGAGAGGAAAUAAAAAAAUAACUUUGCAAAUCUUUUUACAAAAGUCUCCUAAUAAACGAUCUCAAAACUUGUUUUUAGCAUUAUUAUUCAUGACAGCGAUGUUCAUUUUGUUCAACCGCUAGCUUUAUACAGAAAAUCGCCGACAAAUAAUGUGCGAAUUCGAGUAAAAUCGUUUCUGACAAAAACAACAUUGAAAACAAAAUGGCUGAGGUAGCAAUAAACAGUUAGGAAAAAAUAUUAAAAUUUGCCCUUAUAAAUUUUACCAUCCCCUUUUCAUUGCUUUCUUGCAAUAUCAAGCUUACUGUUUGUGUCAUAUAUGGGCAUAUGUAUGUAAUCAGAAUCUUCCAUAGAUUUUAUAUCCAGUAUAUAAAAUGGUAAAAUAUAAUUUCUUUUGGGUGUAUCCAUGGCAACAAUCUGCAUUUAUUUGUUAUAAAAUAUUGCAAAAAGGGGGGAAAAGAUGUCGCAUAUUUCCCCAAAAUUUGGCUAAAAGUAGAAUUUCAAUCGCUUGAAGUAAUACCUUUUCUGAAACUGUGUACAUAUAUCAUUCAGCAAAUCCAAUGAAAAUCAUAAGUCCUUAAUCUCAUUUUUUUGUAAAAUUACGUCAAAAACUUUGGCCCGAGACCACAACUAAUUCCUCUAUCAUUUCUUUAUAACAUUUUGUCGCAUUAAAAAAAAAUUUGCCUAUUCUUUUUGUCUAAUUUUUUGUGUGUGUAAUGUAAGUACAAGUCCAAAAUAUGUCCAAGUUUCAGAAAAAAUUGCACGUAUAAAACUUACAAAUUUAGCAAUACACAUCAUACCCUAUGGACAAGUCAAGAGAUGUUCCGAAAACUGUAAAUAUCACCUUUUUGCACCUGACCUAAUCACUCUUUCCAUAUCAAAAUCAGUUAAAAUUAAACAUCUAAAAAUUUAUUUCACCUCUCUUCUUUCAUUUCCACCUUAUAAAAGCUAAGAAAUGUUUGAGAAAAGGAAAGAAAAAUUUUAAGAAGAAAUACACUAUAAUUAAAGGGAACUAUAUUCGUGAACAACGAAAAGAGGGGUCAUUAAUAAAAUCAACGGUACCAAUUUUGUUGCACCAGAUGCGCAUUUCGACAAUAUAUGUCUCUUCAGUGAUGCUCGUGGCCAAAAUAUUUGAAAUCCAAAGCUUAUAUAAAAGAUGAAGAGCUAUAAUCCAAAAGGUCAAAAAGUAUAGCCAAAUUCGUGAAAGGAAUCAGAGCUUUUGCAUGAGGGAGAUACAUUCCUUAAUUAUAUAAUAAUUUCUAAUAUUUUGUAACAGCAAAUUUUAAUAACACAAAAAUCCGUAUUUUCAUGCCAGUACCGAAGCACUGGCUACUGGGCUGGUGACCCUCGGGGACUAAUAGUCCACCAGCAGAGGCAUCGACCCAGUGGUAGUAAUAAAAUCAACGGUACCAAUUUUGUUGCACCAGAUGCGCAUUUCGACAAUAUAUGUUCUUCAGUGAUGCUCGUGGCCAAAAUAUUUGAAAUCCAAAGCUUAUAUAAAAGAUGAAGAGCUAUAAUCCAAAAGGUCAAAAAAGUAUAGCCAAAUUCGUGAAAGGAAUCAGAGCUUUGCAUGAGGGAGAUACAUUCCUUAAUUUAUAAUAAUUUCUAAUAUUUUGUAACAGCAAAUUUUAAUAACACAAAAAUCCGUAUUUUCAUGCCAGUACCGAAGCACUGGCUACUGGGCUGGUGAUACCCUCGGGGACUAAUAGUCCACCAGCAGAGGCAUCGACCCAGUGGUAGUAAUAAAAUCAACGGUACCAAUUUUGUUGCACCAGAUGCGCAUUUCGACAAUAUAUGUCUCUUCAGUGAUGCUCGUGGCCAAAAUAUUUUGAAAUCAAAGCUUAUAUAAAAGAUGAAGAGCUAUAAUCCAAAAGGUCAAAAAAGUAUAGCCAAAUUCGUGAAAGAAUCAGAGCUUUGCAUGAGGGAGAUACAUUCUUAAUUUAUAAUAAUUUUCUAAUAUUUUGUAACAGCAAAUUUUAAUAACACAAAAAUCCGUAUUUUCAUGCCAGUACCGAAGCACUGGCUACUGGGCUGGUGAUACCCUCGGGGACCAAUAAUUGUGGUCUUGGGCCUAUUACUUUGUGUAGAAAAAAAGUGUUUGUAAACAUUACAUUAAUUUCUGGACCGAUGACCGGUCUAGCUAUGAAAAUACGGAUUGUCAAACAGAAAACAGCCCAUAAAACAUGUAAAAAUGAUGCUCUUAUAAACCAUCUUUGAAGGCUAAAUUAGCACUCAGCUGUCUAAAAUGACACAAUAACUUUGGGGGCCAAAUGCGAAACUAAACUCCUAACUGUGUAUUGCUACCUGAGAUGAGAAGAAAAUUCUAAUAUCGGAUCCGAUUCCGGAAGCGGAUAUGGGUAAUUCCGGGUUUUGGCGAUCUUUGAACUUUUAAAAAAAUCAGACAGAUGACAAAAUACAUCUUUGCAUGGUAAAUAAAUAUAAACACUAGAAUUGAAAACCAAAAGAUAUAUGUAAAAGAAUGAAAAAACAGAAAAUAUAUUGUACUGAAAAUGUGAGAAACGUACAAUUAAAUACAAUGAUGAUGAAGUAGAGCAGAAUAUAAUGGUGCAACAGUGCCAGCGUUCUGAAGAUCCAUAGGUAUCCAUAGGAAACUCAAAAUUACUUUUUGACAAAUUUUAAUGUCAAAAUCCAAUACAAUGUGAGUCUUUGUGACAGCUGGGAACAGUAUAUCUAACAAUAUAUAUGGUCCUGGUGACAGUAUAAAUUUUCUUUUUCAGUAAUAAAUGUUGGUAAAGCAAGUUAGAUGCUUUUAAAGUGUAUUUUUGUUCCUCAAUUUUGAUGGGUCAGUUAAAAUAGCUGGAAGUUUCUUAUUUUACACAUAUAGUGCAACUAGAUUAUAUGAUACCUGAAUGUAAGCAAAUUAUAUGUAUGUGGAGUCCUUUGGGGCACUCUACCCCCUCCUGUUUGAUAACUUUGAAACGGAUGAGAUCCCCAAUCCCAAUCACUCCUGUUUGGGAACUUUGAAACAGUCGAGAUCCCCACCCCUAAACCAUAUAUAUUCAUGUAUGGGACAAUAUAAUCAAUCAAAUGAAAUACAGGGGGAGUCCCUGGGGUCACCCUACCACUCCUGUUUGGGAACUUUGGAAACAGUCGAGAUCCCCACCCCUAAACCAUAUAUAUUCAUGUAUGGGACAAUAUAAUAAAUCAAAUGAAAUAUAGGGGGAGUCCCUGUGGGUCAUCCCACCCCUUUUGUUUGAGAACUUGGAAACGGUCGAGAUCCUCACCCCUCAACCAUAUUUAUUCAUGUAUGGGACAAUAUAACCAAUCAAAUGAAAUACAGGGGGAGUCUCUGGGGUCAUCCUACCACUCCUGUUUGGGAACUUUGAAACAGUCGAGAUCCCCACCCCUAAACCAUAUAUAUUCAUGUAUGGGACAAUAUAACAAAUCAUAUGAAAUAUAGGUGGAGUUCGUGGGGCCACUCUACCCCUUCCUGUUUGAGAAUUUGAAAACGGUUGAGAUCCCCUCCAUAAACCAUAUAUAUAUUCAUGUAUUGGACAAUAUAACAAAUCAAAUGAAUUAUAGGGGGAGUCCCUAGGGUCACUGCACCCUCAUGUUUGAGAACUUGGAAACAGUCGAGAUCCUCACCACGUAACCAUAUAUACUCAUGUAUGGGACUAAAUAACAAAUCAAAUAAAAUAACAGUCGAGUUCCUAACCUUAAAUUAAACCAUAUAUUUUCAUGUAUGGGACAAAAGAACAAAUCAAAUGAAAUAUAGGGAGAGUCCUAAGGGUCACCCUACCCAAUCCUGUUUGAUAACUUGGAAACAGAUGAGAUCCCCACCCCUCAACCAUAUAUAUUCAUGUAUUGGACAAUAUAACAAAUCAAAUGAAAUAUAGGGGAAGUCACUGGGGUCCCCCACCCUAAACCAUAUAUAUUCAUGUAUGGGACAAUAUAAAAAAAAUCAAAUGAAAAUAGGGGUAGUCCCUCUUGUGUGUGUUUUGAGAACUUGUAAAAGAUUGAGAUACCAACUCCUAAACCAUAUUCAUUCCUGUUUGUCAUUUCAAAAAGAUUGAAUGACAUACAAGGUCAAUCUCAUAGGCGUCACAUAUGCAUAUCACUUUGCUAGACCUAACACCUGUCAUUUUAUUCCAAACUUAGACAUCAUGGACUUGGGUUGAAGGUGGGAGUCAUUUACAUUUACUAUGGACAGGUCAGUCAGACCUCACUAUUGAUCCCUGUAGUAGUAGUAAACAUUUGUCUGAUUUGUGUCUCAUAACUUUUGUACUGUAGAACACAAACUCAGUUUUCUUUCCAGGGAAGCAAGUCCAUUCAUACUUUUACAAGCUCGUACUAAAGUCAACUUGAAAUACUAACAGUCAACUAAUACGAACAAUUACGAUCAACUAGAAGAACUGCAAUCAUUGCGAAUUUGUACCACUGCUGACUCGAGACUCAUGACCAUGAAAAAAAAAAUAUACUUGAUAUAUACCUUGCUAUUGAAAACCUUGAUAAAAUAUGAAUUAUUUGCUUUAAUGAUUAAUUCAUUAAAUGAACAUAAAUGUACAAUUAUAUAUGAAUGUUUAAUGCUUGUUCUUUUAAAUCUUUAAAAAAAAAUUGAAGCAACAUUGCCAGUUUUCAUAAUUAUGUGUGCCUUGGUUUUUGCUUAACUGCCUACAGUGCUUACAGCGCUUUGAUUUUUUUAAUUAGGGUCAAAGGUCAAAGCAAAAGUUCAGGAAAAAUGCACAGUCACAUUUAGAUAGCUCGUUUCUCCUAAAUAUAUGCGUUUGGAGCAGAAUAACAAGAACUCAUUUAUAGAAAAAUAUCUGUUGUAUCUACAUUUAGAACUUAUUUUAUAUUUUUAACGCCAAAAAUUACUUUAAAUUGACUUUUUUGUAUAUAGGGUGCAAAUUUGAAAUUUUCAAACAGCUGUUAAAUAACAGUGACCUUGACCUAUUUCAAUUUGUAAAUUUGAAUAUUUAUACGACCGCAAAAAUUGAAAAAAAAAAUUGGUCGUAUAUUGAUAUGACGUUGGCGUCGUCGUCGUCGUUGUCGUCGUCCGAAACAUUUGGUUUUCGCACUAUAACUUAAGUAUAAGUAAAUAGAAAUCUAUGAAAUUUAAACACAAGGUGAAUGACCACAAAAGGAAGGUUUGGAUUGAUUUUGGACAGUUUAGGAAUUAGGGGCCAAAAGGGUCCCAAGUUAAACUUUGUUUGAUUUCAUCAAAAAAUGAAUUAUUUGGAUUCUUUGAUAUGCCAAAUCUAACCUUGUAUUUGGAUUUGGAUUUCAAAUUUGCCCUAACUUUAAACUGCAAACACGUCUGAAUUGCGUUGCGUUUUAUCACGGAACGUCACUCAAACAGACAAACCACGCCGUGUCAACGUAUAUUUGUUCCCCGUAACAGAAGUUCCACUGGAAACUUUGUUAUAAACAAUGUCAUACUACCUAUUCCUGUUGGAACAAAUAUUCUAUACUAUUUAUUCCGUUAGAAACAUGUACUGUAAUAUUUAUUCCUAUGGAAAUAAUAUUCCAGAAUAUUUUUUCCUUUUGGAACUUAUAUUAUGAAGGAACUUAUAUUCCGUUACAGCCCCACCGGUCAUUACCAUGUAAAAGUCUUUGUUCUGUUAAUGACCGAUGGAAUUUAUAACUGAAGAAUAAAGAAUGUCAUGUGGCCUGUUUUUAUCCAAUAAGAUAAGCUUAUUCUUAACCGAUAUAAAAUAAACAAGUUAUAGUGCCUGUUUGAAACCAUAGCUCAUGCAUAUGCUGCAUGGAGUGGAUGUAGGGAACGCAUAAUUUUAGAACAUUUGCAUCUUGUGACUUUGUUAUUAUCCUUCUCUUGAUUCCUUUCACACCGAACUCUUUGUCUACAUGAUCAGCAUGUAAAGUCAUGUGAGUAUCUACUUCAUCGGGCGUACAAAAUAAUUCUUAAAACCUGAUUAAGGGUUCUUGGAAGUGCUAGCUAGACUAUGACUUCCUUAUGUAUCAUAGUAACUGUUGAUCUACCAAGAAACCUGAUUAAGGCCUGCUGAAUCUCACUGACUCAAAGAAAUUUUUUCCAGUCAGGAAUUUGACGACUUCUAUAUAUGAUCUGGAACACUUUAACAGACGAACAAGAACUUGAUUCAGCUUUAAAAUAACUGCAGUUGUGUCUGCUGGUGUAAAAUUUAAAGCAAGAAUGGUGGUACAACAGUUUGCAAUCAUCAGUACGAAGAUGGUCUAUAUCUGACGCAUCAUGCAUGCAAUAAACUAAACUCUUUCCGUGCUCCCAUAGCCUCGAUAAAGCUUUUUUUUGUGCUUAUUCCUUGCAUACUAAUAAGCAAUUCAGUAGAAGAGCCCUGACAUAUAACACAUUUAUCCCAUUGUAUUUCAUUCCUACUUCGUUUCGGGCUUGAUGGGCAUAGUUUAAUGUGUUUAACUGUGAAUGUGUGCCACAUUCCGGGUCUGAAACGUGACCGAAGGAUUUGAUUUGUAUAUUACAACUAUAACAAAACUAUCAAUUAAAAAAAAAAGCAAUUAAGUUAUAAAAUUGCAAAACAACGAUCUUCAAACUAACUGGACUAUUCCAAAUAUACAAAUCGACCACACAACAAGCUUAAAAGAGAAAUGAAGUCAGUGACAAUUGUCCUAGUUAAUGACCUGAUAGUGUAAGCUACAAAACGAUAAUCGGCACGAGAAAAGACGUGUUUGAAGGUGUCAUACCACCAAUUAAAAGUCCCUAUCUGUUCAACCAAAUUUUGCAAUUUUCACAGCUUUCUAAAUAGAAUGAAAUUCAAAACAGUGUGGCUGUGGUCAUUGAUUGACACAUUAAAUUCAUCCAUUGACUGGGACAAUUUAGGUGAACGUUUGUAUGUAACGACCACUGCUCACUAUGUACUUUUUAAAGACACUUAAACUAUGGGGUCACCAAAGGUUCUCAACACCUUAAGAAAGUAAUUCGAAAAAUUAAUCAGAAAUAACACGAUGUUUUUAUUUAUAUCAAUUAUAUAAAUCAAAACAUAAAGGUUAUUCCUGAUUAAUUUUUCGAAUUAUUUUAUAAUUAAAGGCGUUAAGAAACCUUUGGUGACCCCACAGUUUAAAUGUCUAUCGUAGGUACGUCGUGAACAGUGGUCGUUACAGACAAACGUUCACGUAAAUUGUCCCAGUCAAUGGAUGAAUUUAAUGUGUCAAUCAAUGGCCGCAGCCACACUGUUUUGAAUUUCAUUCUAUUUUACCUUAAGUUUAACUUCAUAGAAACUAGGUAUAUCCUGAAUCGUACAGGUGUCACCUUUCUGCAUGCCAAUUUUCAACAUACAUUCAAAAUCAUAUAAGAAAGCAGAGAGCUUCCGAAAGGAGGUACCACUAAAAAUAACCCCUGGUUUUCUGGAAAUCUUAAAUUAGUAUACUAUGGAGCGCAUUAAUCCUCAAUUUUUAAUGCAAACUCAUAGACAGGUAAAUUUUGGCUCAAAAUGGUCUUAAUAUAUUUUUCUUUCAACAAAACUUUCAUUUCUGCAAAUUUGUUGGUUAGUUUAGGUGAACAAUGACAUCAAAUGCACUAUUUUUUGUCCGAGUAGGCCUACUUUCACCUACGUUCUAAAUUUGAGGGAGUAAUUGGUGGUAUGACACCUGAAUCAAGGCAGAAUUAUCACUAAAUUUGUGUUUUAAAUUGUUUUUUUCUUGUCGGCGAUUAACAUUACACGAAAGAUAUUCGGCACACAUAUGAACCAUGUCUUAUUGGUGUAAUCAGAGUAAAAAUCCCGUGAAAGUAACACCUAAUUACAUUUUCUUUCGUUCAAAAUGUGGUAAAUUUCAGCUUAAAAAAAUAGUCUUACUAAAAUCAUGAAAUACUUAAGCUUAAAUUAUAUAAAUCUUUUCAGCUUUCGUUAUAUAAUAAAUUUAAUUUUUAAGCUAAAUGAUAAGUAUCAUUUGAACAAAUAACACAGAAAGCAAUAAUUUUAUUUUUCGUGUUGAAGAUGGUCUCUAUGAUGAUGUAUCUGUGGGUACCCUAAGAAACCACAAAAUUUUGAAAAACGUGACCACGGGAGCAUACGACGACAUUCGUGAUUGGAAAAUAUAAUGAUUUUCCAAUAGUUUGCAUAUACAUAUAGCCGUGUGUUAUCCGUUAACUAGACGUCUUUUUCGAUACUGGGCACCCUACUAGUAGUAGACAAUAAACAAUACUUUAUUAUUAAACCUCAGACACAUAGGCGUACAAGAGGACAUCAUAUAUACAUGUAAACACAUGUUUAUACUCAAUACACUUAUACUGAACAUAAGUAUGCAUGCAUGGUAAAAUACAGCAAAAUAUCGAUUUUCAAAUUACCAUAACAUUCAACUAAAAAAAGACAAACAUAAAUCACAACUAUCGUGUAAGUUUUUUUUUUUUUAAAUAUUCUACAUGACAGAUUGUUAAAAGCUGUUAAAAUUGUACAUCGUUGGAUUUGCAGUAUAAUAUUGUGGUAUAUAUUUUUUUUAUUUCUAAGCAGUUGUAUUUUCUGAUUUUUACAUUUAAAUAGAUAACGAAAUUCAUCUCUAGACCUACUCCUUUUCCAUAGAGAUGACAAAUUCGCUCAUAUUUUGGAUCCAGAUCAUCUUCCCGUUUAUUAAAUCGGUUUCCAAACGAAAUUCCUGUUUGUAAUCUGAAUAAAAUGAACCUCUUGAAGAGUUAUUCAGUUGAGAAAACCAAUGUUGGAUAAAUUGAACAUUCAGUUGUCGUGAAAUUAUGUUCUUUAAACCCAGUGUUUAUGCAAUGGAUGUUGAUCUUGCCAAAUAAAACUUAUUCCAUUUUUGUCAAACAUGAUAUAACGUACGUAGUUCAUUUAAAUUUUGUGGGGUACCGCAAAUGUAACUUGAGCUUGAUUUAUUAUACAUUAUCAUUAUGGAAGAUAACUUGUUAUUCACCAAUUAUUCUAAACAACACCAAUUUAUGUUUAACAAUAGUUUCCAAGGGGAAUCUUCCGAGUUCUUUAUACACCAUAUAAUUUGGUGUACUGUUUCUUAAUUUCAAAACGGUUUUUUUCCAAAAUUGUAGGUGUAUUUUCUCAAGGCUAUCUUUACUUUCAAAUCCCCAUAUCUCUGAAGCAUAUAAAAAUACAGGACUAACUAAUGAGUCAAAAAGUUUUAGUUGUAAAUCGACGGAAAUACAUAUAUUUCUUAACUUUUUGGUAUAAAGCGUACAAAGACUUCUGUGUCUGAUCAAGAAGUUUAUUUCGUACUAUACAAAAGCUGAAAUUGAAAAGUACACCAAGGAAGCACUAGGAAUCAACUAUUUCAAUGUUUUUGCUGCGGAAAAUUCAUAUGCUAUUUUGAUGCAUAUCAUAGAUCUCUUUAAAUAGUUUAACUUUAAUGUUUGACUUUUGCAUUUUUUGCCAUAAUCCCGAUUUCCAUACAGUGUCAAAAGCAAAAGUGCAAAAUAGCUUCUUACAAAAUGAAAAAUAUAUAGUAAUUAAAGAAUACAAUACUAAAAUAUUAUCAAUAGUAGAGAAUCUUCAACGACUCUUGUGACUUUGAAAUCAGGUCUACGUGAUCAGCAUAAUUAUUAAACCUGUAACAGUCAGGAUUCUACUUCGUCAAAACUAUCUCCCCAUUACGCCAGUUCACUUUCACAAUCGUUUAAAUGGAAGCAAUUGCAGGCGGAAACCCAGUUGAAAUAGAACAAGAAAAUCGAAGCUCUUUGUUAGAGAUAAACUGGUCCGCCGUUCUAUCUAUAGCUUCGCACCGUCAGUGUAGCGAUAAGUGAACACAACAGGGGUCCAGUUUAUGUUAGAGAAGGCGAUAAAUGCUUACUGUAAUGUUUACUAUAGUAACAAAAAUUUUAAAAAUUAAUAGAAACAAAUAAAACGACAAUUUUCUUCUCAAUUACGAAGUGUUUUAUUUUAAAAACACCAUUUGCAUAAGUUUUCAAUUUAUCAAUUAUACAGUAAUGCAGAACAAUUAGAUAUCAAGUCGACGACAUGGGUAUCUAUCAAGUUGGAUGUAGAAAAUGCAUAACCUCCGAUUUUUAUUAUUUUUUACCGCGGACGGAGAACAUAUCAAUCUAUUAGUUCAGUAAUUUUCGUGUCUGCCCUUCCAUUAUUUGACUCGAGAAAAAAAAGGGUAACAAUUGUAUCACAUUGGAGAUAGUUUAUGCGAGUCACAUAUCUAUACUAUUAAACGAGAAGACCUCAUUUUGUGUGUCGCUUCUCUUCUUUCCACAAUAAAGUAAUCAUCAUGCCUCUGUGUUCUUUAGGUACAGUGCAUAGUCGCAUUUGUCAUCCAUUUUUAUGAUUAUUCAGAUUGAGUUAUUUUGGGAGAAAAACAAGAAAAAACGCAUCCGGAUAUUGAUUCCGUCAUUGGGCGAAAUUUUAAGUCAUAUUAGAUUUCCGGUUUGCGUUUUUCUGUAUUCUUUGAACAUACAUAUACUACGAAUAAAGUGUAUUUUCUAUCUGCUAUCUUUUUUUAAGUUUACUAUCCACGGCGGUCACAGAGUUAACUCAAAAGAGAGAGAGUCUGUAUAAUAUAGAAAUGACCGCCGUGGAUCGAUAAAUAACCUGAGAAUUGAAAGUAAAAAGCAAAUACACUUUAUUUAUAGUAAUGAAUGUUCAGCGCUAAAAGUAUGCAUGUGUUAUUAAUGUUAAUAGAAAUAAAAAAAAAAAGGGAAUUUUUUAAAAAUAAAGGAGGAGCAGGGCUAGGAAAACAAUACACCUUAAAGCUAAUCCCGGCUGACCGGGCCGCUUGAAAUUUGGACGCAUACAACAAUCACUUUUCCAUUGUGGCGUCAGAUAUUUUGUAUUGUGACGUCAAAGUUUUGCGGGAACCUGUGUGAUACCCAGUAAUGGCGGACAAAUAGCAAUAAGGUGUAUUGUCUUGUCCCAAAGCACCUGACUUUUGAUACCUUUUCUGAAAUUCUCCAUCAAUUAAAUUUUUUACAAAAAUUCAUUAUAACAAAAAAAAAGAAGGUGUGGUAUGAUUGCCAAUGAGACAACUCUCCACAAGAGACCAAAAUGACACAGAAACUUACAACUAUAGGUCACCGUACGGUCUUCAACAAUGAGCAAAGCCCAUACCACAAAGUCAGUUAUAAAAAGCCCCGAAACCCAAUGUAAAACAAUUCAAACGAGAAAACUAUAUAUAUAAACGGCUUUAUUUAUGUACAAUAAACAACGAAAAAAAAUGUAAGACAUGAACAAACGACAACCACUGAAUCACAGGCUCCUGACUUGAAUGUUCUCAAUAUACUAAAUGUAUGUUCAUAUUGAAAUUAAUAGAAAACAAAAAAAUGGGAAUUUGGGAAAUACAGGAGGGAGAAAAAAAAUUUCCUGUCCCCAAGUACCUAUGACUUUUGAUAUUUUUCCUGAAAUUCUCCAGUCAUUAAAUCUUUUGCAAAAUUCUUCCUACAACACUUUACAUACUUUCAACACGCUCUGAUUGCCCGCGAUUUCGCGGGUGUGUUCUAGUACUCAGUGAUAAAAAGAAACUCACAUAUACUCAGUGAUAAAAAGGGUAACAAUUGUAUCGAAAAGAGAAAAUCGAGUGCACCUGUUUAUGUUAGGGCGUGUUUGAGUUGAAUAUUUUGUCUUUAAAACGUACAAAGCAAGAAUAUUUCAUACAUCGUCUCGCUUCAGAUUCUAUCAUUUUUAUAUAUCAAAGCUACAGAUUGACUUUAUAACAUAAAAAAAUCACAGUACUAAAAGAUGAAAUAUAUGGGUCAAGUGAAAUACCUAUCUAAUGAAUCACAAAAACAGAGUAGGUGUGUUCGAAUAGCUAUUUUUUUACUGAAAGUACUUGACGACAGUCUUUCAAGUUGGAUGAUGAAAAUGCAUAUCUUCGAAAAAUUAUAUUUUUUUGUGUGUUAAAACAAGGGUUUAUAGUCUUCAACCAUUAAAAAAAUCUAGUCUGCCCUUCCACGAAAUAUUUAAUUAUAAUUUUUUUUAAAUGUCUAUGAAUUUUCGAAAAUUCCACCUGACAAACCGAUCAGACAAUAGUUUUAAGUUGAAUCAAAGCAGACAAGAUCAUUAACUGACGCUCAUUAGCUAGUUGAUACAUUUGUCUUUUAAAAUACAAUUGACAUAUAAGGAUCGUAAUGGUGCAAUGUGGAUAAAUUUAUCGGUUUCCGAGAGCAAAAUUGGCAGCGCGUCAUCCCUUUUUUUCCCUAGAUUUUUUUAUGUUAUAAAGGCAACCUGUAGCUUUGAUAUAUAAAAAUGAUAGAAUCUGAAGCGAGACGAUGUAUGAAAUUUUCUUGCUUUGUACGAUAUCAAGACAAAAUAUUCAACUCAAACACGCCCUAACAUGAAAAGGUGCACUCGGUUUUCUCUUUUUGAUACAAUUGUUACCCUUUUUAUCACUGAGUAUAUGUGAGUUUCUUUUUAUCACUGAGUAUAUGUGACUCGCAUAAACUAUCUCCAAUGUGAACACACUCAGCUUGUGUUUCAGAAAACCUUGACUCAUACAUGUCUUAUAGGUUAGACAAUACUUGGUCAUGUUUUAUUUAUAGGUUAGACAAUACUUGGUCAUGUUUUAUGAAGAUUUAAAAAACAGCAACUUUUAAUUUCGUACUGGGCAUGAACUAUACUGCUGUGUUCCUUAUAUUCCAGUUUCCAGCUGUCUCUCACUCCAAGAGGUGGAAGAAGAAUUUCAUGUUAUCAUAAUAUGUACAGAACUUAUUAGUCUUAAUAAACCUAGGACCAAAAUGUUAAAUGAACUUUCUAAUAUUGUCCCCUGUUUUAAUUCAAUGCGUAAUGCCAAAUUUUUUAUAAUAACCAUCGUUAACAGUAUUCGUAAAAUGUAUAAUGUGAGAAACAACUAUAAUGUCAAUAUAUUUAAUAGUUAUCCCACGCGGACGCGGUGUGUCAGUGUGAGAUCACCCCGGAGGCCUGAGAGGGUGAUCUACCACUGACACAUCACGUCCGAGUGGGAUAUAAACUAUUUAACAUCCCAGCUGUUUUACAUUAGACGAAAAACCAUUUACAAUUCAUAAAAUCUAGUUUAGAACGCCACACAACCAUUAUAACAUACUUUAUAUAUUACUAUAUGAUGCAUACGAUACCCUUUAUGACCCCGAACACGAUGAGUAGAUAUCGAACAAUGUCAUCUCGCCCCACUUGCCAAUCGGCCCACACUAUAUCGCCACUUUAUAAAAAAAUGGUCCCAAUCUUGUUUACCGACUCGCCCAAAUUCUGAAAAAGGGUAAAAUCAAAUUGAACAAUCAGUCUGACAACUCACUUAUUAACGAAAAGGGGUUAAACCCCACUGAAUAAAGGUCUGCCAACUCGCUCCACUUCUAAAAAUAUCUUGCUUCCUUUUAGUAUGUUAAAUCACUUUUUAAUCGUAUCCAGUCGUCCUGGUGAAGUGGUAUGUGUCGUGGCUUGAUAUGCUAAAGCUCUUGAGUUCGAAUCCCAGCAUAGGCAAUGGAUUUUUUCUACGUGAAUUUUGAUAGAUAGUCUUUUCCGUAUAAUUAAUUAUAAGUUUUAUAGUGGAUUUGACAUUCCCGCAAAAAUGUUACAGAACAAAGAAACUCAAACUGGGGUGAUCUGGAUCACCCCUGUUAGAACAAAGGAUGUAAGAACUGUGAAUGAUUCAUGACUAAUACCAUAGUGUUCUAUAUAAUUAAGAUAUUUGAAAUGAUAACUUUAAAGAGGAGGCAUGUUGUCAAAAAUGGUAUUGUAAUAAAUAUUAAUAUUUUAUUUCAAUGCUAAAUGUUUAUUUUGUCUAUCGUUGUUGUUUAAAUGUGUUUUUUUUUUUAUUUCGUAACAAUCCUAUGUUGUUUGGAUUUUAGACUAAAAAAAUCUUAUUUUUAUUGUAAAUCUUAAUCACAACCGUAUAAAAACAACAAAACAACAAAUUAAUUUAAUUUUUGCUUAUUCGCAAAAGGACCGGAGCUAGAAAUGACAAGUAAGAUUUGUUUAAACAAGUAUAAAGUUAUGGUUUCAAACUCUUUCACUCCAAUAGUUUGGUUUGAGUUUGUUGUUGUCUGUGGUAUAAAUAGAUUGAGGUCAAACAUAUCUUGAAUAUAAUAGCUAAUGACCAAAGCAUAUAGACUAAUUUGAUUGAUUUAACAACUAAAAAAGUUCGGGAUAACCAAAAAAGAAUACAUCACAGAAGAAUUUGGAACGUUUUACGAACUGGCUUCACGAACAAAUAAUUAUGAUGAAUUUUAUUAAAUUUCUUCACAUUUGCAUUUCGACUAAUUUUUUUUAUUUUUAUUUUUUUAUUUUUUUUACAACAUAAUAAUUUUAUUCAUCAAAUAUUGCUUGUUACAAAAAUUAUCAAGAUUCCAAGCUUCUCUUGAUGUACCCUGUUACACUCCACUGACUACACAGGGAAUAAUCAGCUGAUUAGAUUAAUUGACAGAUAUACAUUUUAUUGGGCGUAUGACAUUUUCGCCGAUUUUGAAUAUUUUCAUUCUUUCAUUUGCGCAGAUUUCAUUUUUUCAUUUGCGCCGAUUUUAUAUUUGCUCCUAAUUAGAUUUACAGGUAAGUUAAUACUUGUACAUAUACUGUACUUAUACCAUUGAUAAAAUCUGGUUAUAAUUGUUCAUUUGUGUUUAAAUUACUUUUGAUUCAUAUUGUUCUUGAACUUCGUUGUAACAUGAUGGACAAAGUACACACUGAAACGAGCCGAGGAGUCAAUUCUUUAGUAAUCGAGGGCCAUACAUAUCGGAAGGUUAGUGUCCUGAAACAUAACAACAUAUCUUACAAAUUUACCAUAAAUCGUGUAAAGCCAGUCACCACGGAUUCUAGUGUCAAAACACUGAUCGAGCAUAAACAUGUGGCAGAUGUCCGAAAGACAGAGGUUAAAGAACUACGGGUACUGUCAAGGAAAAAGUCUGGAGGUGUAUCUUCUAGGCCUUCUUCCAUCUCCCCGUAGUGAGCAGGGGACAACAGUUUUCCCGUUUGAAUGGUUUUACACUAGUAAUUUGGGGCCCUUUAUAGCUUGUUGUUCGUUGUGAGCCAAGGCUCCAUAUUGAAGGCCGUGCAUUGACCUAUAAUGGUUUACUUUUAUAAAUUGUUAUUUAGAUGGAGAGUUGUCUCAUUGGCACUCACACCACAGCUUCCUAUAUCUAUGUUAUGAUUGACAAAUCAUUACAUUUAUACAAAUGGCUAGUGGAAGAGGUCUAAAAUGAUAAAAUAAAAAUUACAUGACUUGGAUGGAGAGUUCUCUCAUUUGCACUCAUACCACGUCUUCUUAUAUCUAUUGACCUGUAAUUUACCUGUAAAAAAUCGGCGCAAAUGAAAAAAAUAAUAGGCGCAAAUGAAAUGCAGAUCGGCGCAAAUGCAAAACGCCGAUUUUUUUAAGUUAAACAGUUAAUGCAGAAUAACAAUACUAUAAAAUUAUUCAUUUGUUAUAUUAUUUUUAAUUUUUGAUAACAUUGGACUUAUUGUCUUAUCUCUAUUUGUGUCUACUCUCUUAUUAUAUUCAUUCACCAAAAUUCUGUAGACAUCUAUAUUUUUUGUUUUCUGUUCAGAUACAUAGUAUGUCUUAUAUAUAGAAAAUCUAAUUUAAUCAAAAAAAUUAUUGAGAAAUACUUGUUGUCUGUGAUUUUGUACCCAAAUAUUAGGUGUUGUAGUUUUAUCACAAAAUCUAUAUUACAUCUUGUAAGAAGGUCAUCUAUGUGUUGCCAAAAUCGUGUCAAAUAAGAACACUUAAAAAAAUAAUGAUUAUAGUCUUCUUCUAGGUUACAAAAAUUACACAUAUUAUUGUUAGUUAUUUUCCAUUGUGAUAGAAGCUUUUUGUUAGUACAAUAAAUUGUAGCAGUUUCCAUCUGAAAAUUUUUAAUUUAUUUUCAGUUAAAUGUUUAAAAAUAAAAUUAUACAAUGACCUCAUGUUUGGAGCUUCUUGCAUUGAUAAAACCUUAAGCCACUUGUUUAUCCCUAUUGAUAGUUCGUUUAUAUUACUCACUAGUGAAUCAUAUAACAUUUUAUUUGAAAAACAUGUAGUCUCAAAAUAACGAUCUUUCCAUGUGAUCUUAUUUCUCUGUACUUUUAACAGAAUUUUCUUUUUUAACAAUAUGAUUCCAAUUAUGUGGAAUAGAUUGUUUCAAUUUAUGAAUUUCAGCAAUCCAGUUUACCUUACACUUAAUUUUUUUUUAAAUAUUAUUUUCUGAUAUGGACAUAGUGUCGUCAAGAAUUUCGUUUAAGUAAAUACUAUAUUAUACCACUCUUUAUCCAGUUUCCAAAGAUAAUUGGUUCAUUAUGAAAUGUAAUGAAUUUAUUUCCCCAUAUUAUUUGCAUUCUUAUAUUAAAAUAUGUGUCUGUUUUUUUUUGUUCGCCCACCCCCAGUUAAAAUCCAAGCCUUUAUUACUUCCCUAUAAAAUUCGGGAACAUAUGUGAAAUAUUCUAAAUAUUUUAUAUCAUUUAAAUUCAUGUUGAAUAUAAACAAAAUAUUAUUUGACACUUUUAGAUAUUUAAAAGGUAUAAGCUUCCAGUUGGCAAUUUUACCAUUAACAAGUCUAUAUACCCAUGAUGCCUUUAGCGACAUGAAAUAACUUUUAAAAUCAACAAUUUGUAAGCCCCCUUUUUCAUAUGGACGUAUUAUCAGAUUUCUUUUUACUUUGUCAAGCUUCCCAUCCCAAAUAUAUUUAAAGCUUCGUGUUUCUAGUUCUUUAAUAUAACUUUAGGGAAUUAUGAAAACGCAUCCCAAGAAUGUAAAUAAAGGUCAGUGUUUUUAUAAUAAGUAUUUUCCCUAAAAUUGAAAGAUUUCUUUUUUCCCAUGUCUUGAACAUUUUAAUCAUUUUUUCUAUUUUGCAAUCCCAAUUUAAUUUUUUGCAUUUCGACUAAUUUUAAUUUAAAGAAACAGCACCUCAGUAUGAAUACCCAGAGAUUGAAUCUUAUUAACAAUGUUGUCAUGUUAUCUUUCGGGCCAAAAUGAUGCUAUUAACAAUACAAUAUAAAAUUAUGAAUAGAAAUAAUGGGGAAUGUGUCAAACAGAAAACAUCCCGACCAAAGAGCAGAAAACAACCGAAGGCCACCAAUGGGUUUUUAACACAGCGUGAAAAUCCCAUUACGGGAGGCAUGCUUCUUUAACAAGAAUAUUUUGUCCCACAUUGAACAGCACUGAGUUACUUUGACAAUCCAUGUCAGUUUCAAUAUCUUAUAGAGUGUUCCCCUCUGUUUUAGUUUGUUACCCGUAUUUGUUUUUGCUUCAUCGAGUAAUAUUUAUUGAACAGUGAUAUACUACAUGUUCUGUUGCGUUUAUUUAUACAACAAAAGUAAGGUACAACCAUUGAUCUCUAUUUAACAAUUAUAUGAUCUUUCGCAUCAAACAGGCAUUUGGCAAUCCUGCUGCAAAUGUUUGCACCUGUCCUAAGUCAGGAAUCUGAUGUACAGUAGUUGUCGUUGGUUUAUGUAAUUUAUACGUGUUUCUCGUUUCUCGUUUUUUUUUAUAUAGAUUAGACCGUUGGUUUUCCCGUUUGAAUGGUUUUACACGAGUAAUUUUGGGGGCCCUUUAUAGCUUGUUGUUUGGUGUGAGCCGAGGCUCCGUGUUGAAGGCCGUACAUUGACCUAUAAUUGUUUAACUUUUUUUUAAAUUGUUAUUUGGAUGGAGAGUUGUCUCAUUGGCACCCACACCACAUCUUACUAUAUCUAUUUGGUUUCACGAUUGCAUUUCUUUUAUUUUAAAGAAAGCAACUUGUAUCUUAAAAAUUAUAACAUAUAGACCAAUAAGCAAAAAUUUUCAAAAAUACAAGAUCUACAAUAGGACAAUAUGGAGGAAAUCGUCAAACGACUCCUUAUUGUAGUAAUUGCCCUUUAAUGCCGAUUUUCACUAAAAACAAAUUUGGUUUCGCCUUCUAUCAUGUUCUAUGAUAACAAUUACUAUAAUAAAUAAAAAGACAUGUUAGAUCACAAAAAUGGUUAGCAAGGCAAAGUCUGCUAACAAGUCAAAUUUUGUCGAUAGAGUUAGUAGACUAUCACUCAUUAUGACAGUGAUUUCCCAUAAAUGAGCACUUAUUAAAAAUGGUAUUUCACAUCCUAAAUUGUAUGGUAAUAUUGUACUUAAAGCGAGAAAAUCACUAUGUGAUCCGUGUAAACUCAUCGAACCUUCAAACAAACUUUUAAGUAAGGGUUAUCGUACCCAUAUUGUAAUUAGAUCUCUGAAUAUAGUUUACAUUGGCACUAAUAUCGAUUUUGUCAUUAGCAAAUUAAAACAUUACAUAAAUUGUAUCUCCUUAUGAGGCGGGAUGUAUAGAGACACAGACACGUUAAAUUUUAUCUCUAUAGAAGUCGCUCCUCACUAUCCUACUUCCUGUCGAUACAUUCAUUUUUGGCAUUGUACUAGUCAUGUAUUCUCUGACUGUUCAUGACGUUGAAAUAAUAAAUCCCUGGGAUGUGGUUUAGUUGAUUUUAGUCUCUGAUGCAUGAUUUUUUUUUAUCAUUAAUUGUUUUUGGCUUUUAACUAGCUGUCAGUAACUGCAAGUACUCUCAAAUCGUAUUUUCUUGUUAAUUCGACCUGUUGAUAAUGUUUAUAAUUCUUUUUUGUUGUUUUAUAUUUAUAUGGAUCUUGUCUAUAUUCCAGCUUUGAUUAUUUGGAAUAUCACUUCUUCUUACAACAUUUGUAUAAACUUUAAGAUUUACCUGUAUUUUUUUAAAACCGGGUUUUUUUUCUAAAGUGAAUAUUUUCGAAGGGUUAAAUAUUUCGCAGUGGUGUCUUGACAUGGCUUUGUUUGGACUUGUUUGUUGGCUUUUUGGCCUUGAAUGUUUGUCCCUAAUAUUUUAUUAACUGUGCAUUUGCAUUCAGAUAUCGCAGAUCAAAUUUAUUCGUUUAUAGUGUAUUAAUGUACGUUUUUUGAUUGAGUUAAGCCUGCCAAUUGAUAUUUUAUCGUGUGUUUUUCUAUGUUGUGAUGUUAUGCUAUUGUUUCAGAAAAAGGGAGAAGGUUUGGAUCAAUUAAAACGUUUAAUCCCGCUGCAAAUGUUUGCACCUGUCCUAAGUCAGGAAUCUGAUGUACAGUAGUUGUUGUUUGUUUAUGUAAUAUAUACGUGUUUCUCGUUUCUUGUUUUUUUAUUUUAUAUAGAUUAAACCGUUGGUUUUCCCGUUUGAAUGGCUUUACACUAGUAAUUUUGGGGGCCCUUUAUAGCUUGUUGUUCGGUGUGAGUCAAGGCUCCGUGUUGAAGGCCGUACAUUGACCUGUAAUGAUUUACUAUGGAUGGGUCUCAUUGGCACUCACACCACAUCUUCCUAUAUCUAUAUUUUUUUUGCGCAUUUUUGUGUUUUCAUCAAAAACUAAAGGAUAUAGAGAGAAACUAAACAGACUUUAUGAUCAGCAAUACAAGAUCAGCUGAACAGAGAUUUUUUCUCAAGAAUUUCUCGUCUGCGAUGUUGGAGAGUAUCCUUUGUGUAAUACGAGAUAGACUAAGGUGAACGACACCGGCUUAUUAGAGACUCUAGCCCGACUAGUAUUUGUUUUGUUGUUUUGUCAUAAUUAAGGUUGCUGUCUCAUUUGUGUAUAUCACAUGUCUCAUUUACUAAUAUUAACAACUAACAAAGCUAAUUUUAGUGUCGAAAGUUCAACAUAUUAUAUACUUAAUUGAUGUUUCACAGGUACCUAUUGAUGACAAGAUGCUGGGGCGCAGAACCUGAAAGUCGUCCAACAUUUAAAGAGAUUGUCUGUGAUGUGGAAUCUUUGCUUUCCCAGGAGGCAGAAUAUAUAGAACUGAAUACAUACCAAGAGGACAAAUAUAAUAUGUUGGAAAACACAUCUGAUGAACGGGUGUGAUUUUAUAACCAAAUUGACAGAAUUUUAUAUAAUUAGUAUCAUGAGUAUUAUUUUUUAUAAAUUGGUGUCAUUAUCCUUUCUAUUAUUCAGUCAUAUACGUUUAAAAAUUUCAGACGGUUGACGAGUGGACUUUGUCUCCAUGUCAUUUUGUAAAUGAAGGUGUAAUACCACCAAAUCAUAGUACGUCACAUCCCGUUGCACACACAAAAGGGUCGAAAAAAAUAUUCCCUUGAUCUUUUCAUGACAUUUAUUCAUGGAAAAUGAAUUAUACCUUGAGUGCAAAAGAGAUUGCAUUUAAUCACAAAUUCUAAAAGACAUCAACUUCAAAAACCUGGAAUUAAAGGAUUUUCGUUGGUCGUUGUCUAACCUCUUUUGUUUUUCGUUUAUUUGAUUUCCACAUUAAACAGGCUAUUGGGUUUUUUUUUCUAUUGAUUGUUUUACAUUAGGAUUAUUCGCUUGGGCUUUUUGUAUCAUACGGUAUGGUUUUUCUCCAUUGUUAAAGGCCCUAUGGUGACACAUAUUUGCUUACAUCUGCAUCAUUAAAUAAACGUUGGUCUCUGGACUGGGUUGCUCAAAACGUUGGAUAGUGUUAGCCAGUGGUUAAACUGCUUAUCCAUUAGUUAACUUUAAACAAAUGGAUUAUUUCUAUUGCUCAAAGUUUAUCCAGUGGAUAAAACGUGCUAUCCGCCGGAUAAAUUUAUCCGGUACUUUUUGACUGGUUAAGUUUUAGCCAUUGGUUAAAAACGGCAUUGCGAUUGAUUAAUAAUGGGUAUUAUUAAAUUAAUAUGUUGAAAUUUCAGAUAAUUGCAUUGUUUAUCAUUGUUUAUUACUUGUUAACCUUUAUAUUCGUCACAUAUGGUAUUUUGAAGCUCAUGAAAAUUUGAUAUAGGUGUAAAUUUUCACUCCUUCUCCCUAAAAAAAGAAAAAUACUCCACUUGACUUCGAUCAUUUGGCAUACACAGUAAACACUCACUUGUGGCAUUUUACGUAGUGAUUGUGAAGUCAAAAACUUAUAACAUUUAUACUUUUCAAUUUUUUAAAGUUGUGUCCACCUCAUUGUCAAUGAAAGCUAUACGUAUAAAGAAAUACACCACCACGGACGCUGUUUUUUAAUUUCAAGUUUUCAAGUUUCAAGUUUUUAUUAAAUCAGGAAAAUCAAUACAAGUAUAAUGAUGUCUUCCCCCACAUUAACAUGAUAUUACAUCACAUAAAUAAAUAUAUAUUAUGUAUGACAAAAUAUCAAAUCAAGGUUAAAUGAAUAAAAUUACAAAGAUUCAAAGCAUAAUUGUAUGUAAUGGCAUAUAUUUUUUGUGUCAUCAAUAUUUUGUGGUUAAGUAAACUAAUAAUGGUUUCCAUAACUUUUUCAAGGCACAGAUCUUGUGAAUUAAAAUUUAGUUUAUUAAAUAGUUGUUUUCUAUAAUUUUCAAAUUUUUUGCAAUAAAUAAGGAAAUGUUUUUCAUCUUCUAUUUGAUUGCAGUUAGAGCAUAUUCUGUUUUCUCUCUUAAUUUUUGGUCUGAAAUAUCUACCCUUUUCAAUCAAAAGAGGGUGGGAACUAAUUUUUAAUUUUGUAAGAUUUCUUGUUAUAUUAGGAGAACAUUUAUAAGAUAGAUAAAUUCUUCUGAAUAAAUAUUGGCAUAGAAAUGUAAUUUAUUGUCUUGUUCAAUUGAACGUAAUUUUUCUAGAUUAUUCAAAGUGUUAUUAGAAUGUUGGUUAUUAAUAUUUUCCUUUAAGUUCUUUAAAUUGAGAUUAUUGUCUGUUAAAUUAUAUUUUUCAAUAGAGUUAGAGAUAAAUUUGUGCCAAGAUCUGUGUCCAUCAGUAUAUAAUGAAUGAUCUAAUUAAUUUGAUUUACUUUUAAUAUACAUAUUGCGAUUUCCAGUUAAAAAAUUAAGGAAAUAUUUACUUAAUCAACAUAUAGUGGUAGUGGUUCAUUACAUUUGCAUGCAUUUGAUUUACAGAUACCAGUGGUAUCUAGAUUUGUACAUAUUAUGAUGCCUUAGUUACAUUGUAAUUACACGUUGCCAUGCGUUCUAUCAGGUUCGCGUUACUGUGAUGUAUAAAAUAAAUGCUUCAACCCUGUACCCAAUACCUGUUUUGUUUAAUUAUUUAGAAUUAAAACAAUUCUAUAAUUCUACGUUCUCAAAAACUAUUGAAAUAUUUAUUAUCAAUUAAGUAAGUGUUUGGAUACCAAAUAUGUAACAGGUACAAAAAUGUUCAAAUCCUUUUAAAUAUUUAUUUGAUUUAAUUUCUAAAUUUCCUUCAGGUGACUUUAAAUUUCUUUUAAGCCGAAAAUACCAAAAUAAGCACAGUGUCUUUGGUUAAUCUUGCCGCUGUUUUGUUUCCAAAACUCCAUGCUACAGUCUUGCAUAAAGAUCCAUAAAGUACUGACAAAAAAAUCAUAUUAAAAAACUAAAAUGUAUUUUGUGGACAUAGAAUUUGGUUUUGGUAAAAAAAAAUAUAUAUAUAUAUAUAUAAUCUAAAUCCUUAUUUGUAGUAUUAAGACAGAUAACAGUGCUGAAAGUUAGGUUGAAGUAAUAUAUAGAUUUGCGAGUAAAAAAUUGAAUAAAAUAAUUAUUCCAAAUAAAUGUGUAUCGCCUGUGUACAAAAAACCCUGUACAAAUUAUAAUUUGUACGAAAUUACAACUUCUUCACAACACAUGUAUAUCAAUGCAUAUAAAAACGUUAUUAAGAAUUUUUUCUUGUUGGAUACACCAAGGAUUUGUAUAGUAAGAUCUUACUAUACAAAUCCUUGGAUACACAUGUAAUUGCAAUAUUUCAUGCAUAUUCAGGACAUACAAAAACAAGAUAUGCCAGAUCUUGAAGAAUUGUUAGCACAAAUACAGAUUGCCUCUUUUGAAGGAGGUUGUGUUAAAUAGGGCAGAAAUCUAGCCUUGCAACAGGCUACCGAUAACACAGACCAAUUAAGGAGAUAUUUCAAUGAUCUUUAUACGUGCAGAUUAAGUUACAUAUGCCUGCAUGAGGCAUUGGAUUCAGGAUGACGUGGCUGCGUAUCUAUACAUCCAGCACAGCACAUACACCAUUUCUUUGGCGUCCGUAUAAUGGUAUGGCGAUGUCGUUGUUGGAAGAAAUUCAUUUUCCAGACAAUAUAACUUGUGUGCUAGUGAAUGGAUCUCUGUGAAAUUGAUUUUAACACAAGGUUCCAUACCACAAAGGAACGGGUUUGGAUUGAUUUGGUGGUUAUGACUUAAACUAUUUAAAAAACGUGUGUACAAGUGUAUGGAUAUCUAUGAAAUUUAACCACAACAUGCUCAAGGUUACAUACAAAAAAGAUGGAUGGAAUCAUGGAUUAAUUUGGGUGUUGUCCUAAUUUGUAGGAAUAAGGGGCUAAAACAAGCAUUAUUAUUGUUUUAAGACAAUGAAUUUUGUGUAAUUUUGGGAUUGAUUUGGGUGAUAAUGGUUCAAAUUUUCUAGGUUUUGUUACAAAUUAGGUAGUUAGUUUUCUCAAUUAAAUUGUUUUAUAUUUUUCAUGUCAGACUUUUACAGCCGACCACGUAGCUAUUAAAGAUAUAUAUAAGUGUUGUGAAUCUUUAGUAAAAAUAGAUAAUAAACAAUCUUAUUUUAUUAAUAAUCUCCAUUAAAUUUUUGAUGGAACAUGUGAUUCUGUGUCCUUAAUAUCAAUAUGUAGUUUCCUUAAUAUCAAUAUGUAGUCUUAGUUUUGCAUAUUAUGAUCUUUAAAUUUAAUAGAAUGAAAUUCAAAACAGUGUGGCUGUGGCCAUUGAUUGACACAUUAAAUUCAUCCAUUGACUGGGACAAUUUACG